GAUGAACGCUGGCGGCGUGCCUAAUACAUGCAAGUCGAGCGAACAGAUGAGGAGCUUGCUCCUCUGACGUUAGCGGCGGACGGGUGAGUAACACGUGGAUAACCUACCUAUAAGACUGGGAUAACUUCGGGAAACCGGAGCUAAUACCGGAUAAGAUAUUGAACCGCAUGGUUCAAUAGUGAAAGACGGUUUUGCUGUCACUUAUAGAUGGAUCCGCGCCGCAUUAGCUAGUUGGUAAGGUAACGGCUUACCAAGGCAACGAUGCGUAGCCGACCUGAGAGGGUGGUCGGCCACACUGGAACUGAGACACGGUCCAGACUCCUACGGGAGGCAGCAGUAGGGAAUCUUCCGCAAUGGGCGAAAGCUUGACGGAACAACGCCGCGUGAGUGAUGAAGGUCUUCGGAUCGUAAAACUCUGUUAUUAGGGAAGAACAAAUGUGUAAGUAACUAUGCACGUCUUGACGGUACCUAAUCAGAAAGCCACGGCUAACUACGUG
Molecule: ribosomal RNA, 497 nt
Filed under: uncultured bacterium
Lineage: Bacteria
Description: partial 16S ribosomal RNA
Rfam family: Bacterial small subunit ribosomal RNA
Source: RNAcentral